AGUCCUGUAGUUUAAUAUAUAAAAUUUUAAGGUGCAAACUUAAGGAAAGCUGUUGUGCUCUGGACUU
This 67-nucleotide transfer RNA is filed under the name Meretrix lamarckii (Korean hard clam). Its description in RNAcentral is "tRNA-Cys". Lineage: Eukaryota; Metazoa; Mollusca; Bivalvia; Venerida; Veneridae. The record is from RNAcentral.